UAUAUCUAAAUAGGAGGCCCCACUACAUGAUUUUACAGCCUUGUGGUGCUUCCACGUCAUCGUUAAUUCUCCCGCAGCGUUGCAUGUCGCCUGACGCGCUGGUCGUUCUCUUCCUGUCCCGAAUUUUCUCAACAUGGGCUGCCAGGCCGGGUGUUGCUUCUUCGUGCGUGACCUCUACUUGGGCUUCUUUGUACGUGGACUGUUCGUCUUCUCUGAUGAUGCUCUCCGCCGCCGCCGCCGUUACCUACAAUUCAUGGCUACUAAUCCUCCCAGUACGAACUGCCACAAAUGAUCAUGAAACUGUCCCACGAUACACAUCAUUCAUCAGCCAUCAUUGCCCCCACAAAUACACAAAAAACUUCUAGGUCGAAUUGAGCCGUCGCGGCCUCGUGUUUAAAAAGCUCCUCGUGGUUCCAUCUACGUCCAUUCUGGCAGCGGUAUCCAUUCUGAUGGCAUCUAUCUCUGGCAGCGGUAUCCAUUCUGGCAGCUAUCCGCUCGAGAUUCCCUUUCUCCCUUUCUUUCAAUCGAGAACUGCUCGAUGUAUUGCCUGCCCCUAUUUGAUUGGAAUUUCAUUCAAGGUUGCAGAAUUGCUGUUGAUUAAUGUGAUUUGCUCUAGCUGAUUGCGUCCGUGAACACACUGGAUUGAAGUCGGCCCCUUGAGGAAGGCGAUGCUAUCAUGCACAGCUGAGGUAAUUAUGUUUUCCAAAGAUCUGGACAAAUCACCUUGCAAUACUGCAGAAAUUCGCUCUCAUGUAUGCUUUCAUAAUCUUCUUUAUCACUGAACACGUCUUCAGUUUGUCACUAUUGUUGUAUGCUGAAUGUAUCUCUUAACAGUUGACUUAUAUGUAGGAUUGCAGAUUGGUCUUUCAUAAUCUUCUUCUAUCAUGGAGUGUUAUAUUAUGAAAAAAGAUUUAAUGUUUCUAUGCUGAAAGUUAACGCGGAGAAUUGGUCACUCCUUACUUUUUUAGUUGCAGACCAGAAUUUUUUUUUAGUUGCAGACCAGAAUUGACUUGAUCCGAUCACAUUGCUAUCUCACAUAGGAAGACACACGAGGGAGUGAUUUUGCAUGUGUUGAAGUUAGCAGCUUUUUGUUCUAUCUUUUCUCUUCAUAUUCUGAAGAAUUACAACGAAGAGCGUUGAGAUAAAAAAACUUGAGUAAGUUUGACGCCAUAUCCCGCCCUAGGCAUGAUAUCCUACACACACAUGUAGCUCGAUCCGCUUCCAAACUGCUCAAUAAACCACUUGGACGUUGCAUGGAAUAAGCACACUUACCGCUGAUGUUAUUUUUAACAGAGAACUAAACACUACCUAACAAGCUAUUUAGGUACAGGUUCGGAACAAUCAAAGUUAACAGUUUUCCUGGCCUUCUUCAGAUCAUUUGCUUUGUUUCUAUAUAUGAUGAAACUUCCGUGGUUGUGCUUCAGAUUCCGAAGUUCCAAUCUAUAGAUUUGAAAAGAAUGGAACAAUUGCAUAAUCUGCUAUGGAAUGCCAAGUUCAAUCCUUGAACCGAUGUUAAUCACUGUGAGUGUAAAAACUUUGGUCAGUCAUUUACAUACAAAACUGAUGGAUAUAAGGAAAUUCGGAACUUGCAGCAGCACUUGAACUUGCAAUGUCGUGCUUCUCUCAUUUCACGGUUAAAUCAUGUGAUGCCUCUCUCACCUUUGAUGAUUGUAUUUUUACUCCCUUCACUUCUAUCCAAUAGUAUUAUCCCCGAGUGUUUUUUGAGCAUCAAGAGAGCAUGAUAUUGCCUGUAAGUUGUGGAAGGCAAUGCCAUUGGUUACAAGUUCCCUUAUGUCCAGGGUUGGUUUUAUUCCUGAGUUAUUCUCAUUGCAAACAUAAGUACCACUGUAAUAUCACAUACAAGUUAGUUUUAUAUGUGUUUUUGACUAUAUAU
Lolium rigidum is the source of this 1894-nucleotide long non-coding RNA. RefSeq lists it as uncharacterized. NCBI's taxonomy places the organism in Eukaryota, Viridiplantae, Streptophyta, Magnoliopsida, Poales, Poaceae. The record is from RefSeq and is a predicted model, not a curated record. The transcript is spliced from 3 exons.